RNAcentral lists this long non-coding RNA (422 nucleotides) under Setaria viridis. RNAcentral describes it as "long non-coding RNA (SVIR_LNC003415)". The record is from RNAcentral. Lineage: Eukaryota; Viridiplantae; Streptophyta; Magnoliopsida; Poales; Poaceae.
GCGUGAGGUAAAGGCUAACGGGCUGAGUGGCUUUUGAGAAAUCUAAGAAGAGGGGAAUACAGAAAUCCGUCGGAUGUGUUUCUCGCCGUCCACGUACGAGCGCUACAAUGAACGGAUGCGAUGCGGUCAUCCGGAGAUAGACCGGUUGAAACUGGACCAUCACCCGUGUUGAUCGUUUCAAAAAGCCCUUGGACAACUGAUCCAAAGCAUCAAUUAAGGAUUAGCAUUUUUAAAAAAAUCCAGGAGUAGCAUACAGCAUAUACUAGGGUGAUGUCCAAGUCCAGCCAAUUUCCCUCAUGUCAUAAAGUAAGAAGUUCCUUUCCUAGCUAUUUCAUCCUGAGGGUAUAUGCUCUUGAUCUAUGUAAGUGUAAAUGAUCUUCUAUGUUAACCAUGUAUACUGCUGCUAUAUACCUUCUAUGUUC